GAUGAAGAACGCAGCGAAAUGCGAUAAGUAAUGUGAAUUGCAGAAUUCAGUGAAUCAUCGAAUCUUUGAACGCAUCUUGCGCUCCUUGGUAUUCUGAGGAGCAUGCCUGUUUGAGUGUCAUUAAAUUCUCAACUACACUGACUUUGAAUUGGUGUGGCUUGGAUUUGGGGGGAAAAUUGUUGUGGGCUGUUUGUAUAGUCUGCUCCCCUGAAAUUGAUUAGCGGUACCUUUGUGGAACUGUCUACAGGUGUGAUAAUUAUCUACAUCUUAGACAUCUGCUGGAAUGCUGCUUUCUAAACCUUACUUGUAUUGACAAUCUUGACCUCAAAUCAGGUAGGACUACCCGCUGAACUUAAGCAUAUCAAUAAGCGGAGGA
This 376-nucleotide unclassified non-coding RNA is filed under the name soil metagenome. RNAcentral's name for it is "partial contains 5.8S ribosomal RNA, internal transcribed spacer 2, and large subunit ribosomal RNA". The stretch from base 1 to 120 matches the Rfam family "5.8S ribosomal RNA", at positions 35 to 154 of the family's 154-position model. The record is from RNAcentral.